ACCAACCCACAGCCAGGGACAUGCAGAUCCAGUUAACGCUCAUCGUGUCUGUCAUGUAUUUCUCCUGUGGCGGGUCAGCUCAAUCCUUGACUCAGGCCAAGCUCUCUGUCAGCAGGGCGCGCACAAAAGUCGCCCGUUUUCGGUGCAUCUUGGAGAAUGUGGAUCUGGUGAGUGGGACCGUGCACUGGUACCGCCACACCCCGAGCCAGGGCUUCCACCGCAUUCUCUACGUGACAGGAGCCCGACCAAUUUACGACGGCGAUUUCGCCGACAGAUUCACAUCCGAAAACGUGGCGAAAGAGAAAAGCAGUCUGCUUGACCUAACAAACAUCGCGGAUAGCGACGCUGGAGUUUAUUACUGUGCCGUCUGGGGUGAACACGGUGAUAUAUGACCGUGGAACAGCCCGACAAAUACUCCGCACAUCGAGAGCUCUCCUCCCAGACGACGGAACAGGGUCCAGUGAAC
Non-coding RNA from Hemiscyllium ocellatum (epaulette shark), 466 nucleotides. NCBI's taxonomy places the organism in Eukaryota, Metazoa, Chordata, Chondrichthyes, Orectolobiformes, Hemiscylliidae. The record is from the annotation of a RefSeq genome assembly.